AGGCGCGUAGCUCAGUUGGUUAGAGCACCACCUUGACAUGGUGGGGGUCGUUGGUUCUAAUCCAAUCGCGCCUACCA
This 77-nucleotide transfer RNA is filed under the name Nitrosomonas sp. Its description in RNAcentral is "tRNA-Val". It matches the Rfam family "tRNA". Rfam says of the family: Transfer RNA (tRNA) molecules are approximately 80 nucleotides in length. Their secondary structure includes four short double-helical elements and three loops (D, anti-codon, and T loops). Lineage: Bacteria; Pseudomonadati; Pseudomonadota; Betaproteobacteria; Nitrosomonadales; Nitrosomonadaceae. The record is from RNAcentral.